UGAGGAAUAUUGGUCAAUGGACGGGAGUCUGAACCAGCCAAGCCGCGUGAAGGAAGAAGGUGCAGAGCAUCGUAAACUUCUUUUGUCAGGGAACAAUAAGGUUCAUGUAUGGACCGAUGAGUGUACCUGAAGAAAAAGCAUCGGCUAACUCCGUUCCAGCAGCCGCGGUAAUACGGAGGAUGCGAGCGUUAUCCGGAAUUAUUGGGUUUAAAGGGUGCGUAGGCGGUAUGUCAAGUCGGUGGUGAAAUCCCGGAGCUCAACUCCGGCGAGCCAUCGAAACUGACAUGCUUGAGAGGGAGAGAGGUCAGCGGAAUGCGCAGUGUAGCGGUGAAAUGCAUAGAUAUUGCGCAGAACUCCGAUUGCGAAGGCAGCUGACCGGCUUCUAUCUGACGCUGAGGCACGAAAGCGUGGGUAUCGAACAGGA
This 424-nucleotide ribosomal RNA is filed under the name uncultured bacterium. RNAcentral describes it as "bacterial SSU rRNA". It matches the Rfam family "Bacterial small subunit ribosomal RNA", at positions 355 to 777 of the family's 1533-position model. The record is from RNAcentral.